UGAGAACCGUUUCUCCCUAGUUUUCCUUUUUUACCACAUGUAGACAUCCUGAUGAAGGAACUUGCCUACCUUCUAAGGCUUCCUCUACCACAAUGCCCAUCACUCUAUAUUCUUUGACAUUUUAUACCUUCAGAGCAAAACUUAAUCCUAUGCCUAUUGAUUCUCAAUGUCUUCAAAUACUUCUAACAACUGCAGAGCUCACACUCAGCGCUGCAAGAACAGUAACACAACACUUUUAUAUUUUAUCUGCAUUUUAUUUCUCCUGGGUCCCAGUUCUGCCAGCUCACAGAAAACUUAACCAUUCUUUGGGUUCUCUUCUACAAAAUCAGACUGAAGUUAUCUCUAGUAUCUGUUCCAUGAGCAAGAAUUGACACAUUUUGCUUUUGGAAAAUCAGGUUUACACAGGUUCCCCUUUUUCUUCUUGUGAAUCCACAAGAAGAAGUGACAGACACAGGCUAGUGGCGGGGUCAGCCUUUCCUCCCCUCUCGCUUGUUGUGUUGCCUAUGUGAUCCUGAUCAUCAACUGCAGUCUGAGUUGGAUGUUGCCUUCAUCACAAAGGUUCCCCUCAGCCCUCCUCAGGGGAAUUCUCUGCGCCUGAUCUGAACUCCUGCAGCAUUCGAUCCAUGCCUCUAUUAAAGCCUCAUUACGGUGUGCGGUGAACUGGGUUAUCACCUUCAUAUCUAACCUCCUCCGUCAGAGUAGCCACCAUGUCUUACUCAUCCAUAAGCUCUCUCUUAUAAUAGAGCAUUGCAAGGAGAUGCUCAUAAUAUUUAAAGAAAGAAUACAUCAGAUGUGGCUUUAUCAAGCAAAGGUAUUUCCACAAACUGAUGAAAAUUUGGAAUCAAAGGAUGCUGGACUCUGUUAUUGCCCAUGCCUACAAUGUCAGGAUACACUUCAAAAGCAGAAUGAUAAACUUAUGACUGAUUGUGAAGGACUAUACUACUGUAGUAGCACGGGAAAUAUUACAGAGAGCAAAGGAACAGAGAGAAAAUGGCAUCAAUCUUUCAUUUAACUGGUUAACUCUCCAAAAUGCCCACAACAGCAAGGGCUAUUCCAGGCUGAAGCAAGGAGCACGGAAACGCACCCAGUUCUCCCUGUGUAAAGGGCAGCAACUCAGGUACUUCAGCCAUCACCGUUGCCUUUCAUGGUGCAAAGAACAAAAGAACUGCAGAUUUUGGAAGAUGCUGGAUGUGGGUUUAUUAAUCAGUGACCCAAAUGAGCCCUUACAGACUUUGAGGCACAUGCUGAAGAAAAGCAUGGCAAGCAUGUUUGAUGAGAUUGUAUGCAAAGAUGAUGAGGAGAAAGAUUCAAGAUGACCUUCUGCUAUCUAAUCACAAAAG
This is a long non-coding RNA of Ochotona princeps (American pika), 1340 nucleotides long. RefSeq lists it as uncharacterized. The record is from RefSeq and is a predicted model, not a curated record. NCBI's taxonomy places the organism in Eukaryota, Metazoa, Chordata, Mammalia, Lagomorpha, Ochotonidae. The transcript is spliced from 3 exons.